This 385-nucleotide long non-coding RNA is filed under the name Zostera marina. RNAcentral describes it as "long non-coding RNA (ZMAR_LNC002138)". The record is from RNAcentral. Lineage: Eukaryota; Viridiplantae; Streptophyta; Magnoliopsida; Alismatales; Zosteraceae.
AUAUGUGCUCCAGAGUUUAGUCAGUUUGGUGUAGUAUGUGCAUACUGAGUCUUGUCCUUGGUAGAGUGUGUAUGUUUGUACUAGGACAUCAUAGAGCAUUGCACCAUUUGAUUGGUUGUAUCUGAUUGCCAAUUCAUCCCAUAAUAUCCAUGGUUUGCUAGCUGUGAGAAAGGAUUGUUGUAGCUCUGGUGUGAUGGAGCUUAGUAACCAAGAAUGUACCAUAGCAGUGCAGGCCUUCCAUUUUCUAUGUUCCUUUGGAUAUGUUUCUUGGUCUGGUUCUGGUAUGACUCCAAGUAGGAACCCUAAUUUUGAUCUACCUUCUACUGCCAUUUCAAAAUGCUUUUUCCAUACUGGAUAGUUAUUACCAUCCAGUUUAAUAGUUACC